This 428-nucleotide long non-coding RNA is filed under the name Rosa chinensis. Its description in RNAcentral is "sRNA RchiOBHm_Chr4g0415301". Lineage: Eukaryota; Viridiplantae; Streptophyta; Magnoliopsida; Rosales; Rosaceae. The record is from RNAcentral.
AGAGAGCUGAGGGAGCUGGUUGGAUCGAGUCCAGCCGCAGGCCAAGAAGUUCGCUCAAUCUCAAACAUUCUCAAGUAAGAUGUGAGGGAUUCGGGUAGAGCAAGAGAGGAAAUUCAAGCAGAAAUCCGGAACAGGCUCGUUUCAGAACGGCUUCCGCUUCGAGGGGUGUACAGGACUCAAAUCGACUCCAAUGGAGCUGAAAUUUUGAGGCUAGAUAUAGGAGACAUAGACGAACAACUUUGGUGAAGAAAAUUUUUUGAUCGGAGGUCUCUAACUAGGUGUUUUGGGGCUCGUAAACAGACUGAUGUGUCCAGGAACGAGAGGAAAGGUGAGAAGAGAAGGGUGAAUGACGAUUUAUGGCCUGGGUUCUCUCUUUUGAAGCUGAACGAGGCUCCCUCUCUCUGCCUAACUCUGACGUGAACAACUAA